RNAcentral lists this ribosomal RNA (253 nucleotides) under uncultured bacterium. RNAcentral's name for it is "partial 16S ribosomal RNA". It matches the Rfam family "Bacterial small subunit ribosomal RNA", at positions 524 to 776 of the family's 1533-position model. The record is from RNAcentral.
UACAGAGGUCUCAAGCGUUGUUCGGAUUCAUUGGGCGUAAAGGGUGCGUAGGUGGCGCCAUAAGUCAGGUGUGAAAACUCGAGGCUCAACCUCGAGAGGUCGGUGGAAACCGUCUGGCUAGAGUCCGGAAGAGGAGAGUGGAAUUCCUGGUGUAGCGGUGAAAUGCGCAGAUAUCAGGAGGAACGCCAGUGGCGAAGGCGAGUCCCUGGACAACUUCUGACGCUGAGGCACGAAAGCUAGGGGAGCAAACAGG